Mus musculus (house mouse) is the source of this 285-nucleotide long non-coding RNA. RefSeq annotates it as predicted gene, 30615. Lineage: Eukaryota; Metazoa; Chordata; Mammalia; Rodentia; Muridae. The transcript has 3 exons. The record is from RefSeq and is a predicted model, not a curated record.
AAACGGUGCUUGGUGAUCCUGGAUGACCCUAGAUGAAUCAUCUCCAGCAGGAAAGUUCAGGAAGCCUAGCCACAGUUCUUUUGAAGAUGGAAUGUCACCCCACGUUGCUUUGUAAUAACUAAACAUAAUACUUUGUGUUCAGUGCGAUGGCAAGAUCUAGAUUCAGAGAGUGUUCCUUUUGUCUGCCCCGUCUUCUAUGGCCCAGUCACAACCAUCAUCAGCCAAGGCUUCCCAUCUCUUCCCUCAUCUCUCUCAUCAUGUCCACCCAGCUUCACAUUCUACUAA